Macrobrachium nipponense is the source of this 497-nucleotide long non-coding RNA. RefSeq lists it as uncharacterized. NCBI's taxonomy places the organism in Eukaryota, Metazoa, Arthropoda, Malacostraca, Decapoda, Palaemonidae. The record is from RefSeq and is a predicted model, not a curated record. The transcript is spliced from 5 exons.
AGCCCAGCCACCCACUCUCUGUACCAUAUGACCAUCCCAGUAAGCAAGCCAACCACUAGAAUUUGACUGGCAUGCACCUGUGACUUACAUAAACCAGACCUCUACAUAGCCUACAUGUCUUCAUUUUGCUGGAGACUGCCCAUCAUCCUAGCCUGUUAUCUGUGAUAAAGCACACUGAAGUUAGGUUUGGAAUGCAUCCUUAUCAUGAAUGCUCUACACCUCCACCUCCAUCUCCCACAACCUAGGUAACAGCUUUGAGACUCACUAAAAGUUGAACCCCCUGAAUGAUGUAGGCUAUGGGGCCACAUAAGACUUUGUCCAUCCAGGGUUACAUUGAACGACAACUUUAAACUAAAAAACCAACAUUUUUCACACAACUCCAGGUUGUUACUACAAGUGUCAUCAAGGGAUAACUACAAGUAGAAGCACCAUUUUUGGAUGGAAAAAACCCUUCAGGAAAGUAUACGUAUCACAUGUAACAUGUAGUGUAACAAAGU